Molecule: ribosomal RNA, 394 nt
Filed under: uncultured bacterium
Lineage: Bacteria
Description: partial 16S ribosomal RNA
Rfam family: Bacterial small subunit ribosomal RNA
Source: RNAcentral
UUACCGGNUNNNNNUAAAAGAGAUCCGCAAGGGACAGGUGGUGCAUGGCUGUCGUCAGCUCGUGUCGUGAGANNUUGGGUUAAGUCCCGCAACGAGCGCAACCCUAUCAAUGUUGCCAGCAUAUGGGACUCAUUGAGACUGCCGGGGUUAAUCGGAGGAAGGUGGGGAUGACGUCAAGUCCUCAUGCCCCUUAUGCUGGGCUGCAAACACGCUACAAUGGGAUACAAGGGGCUUCGCGAGAUUAGCAAUCCCGAAAUCGUCUCAGUUCGAAUUGAAGUCUGCAACUCGACUUCAUGAAGCUGGAGUUGCUAGUAAUCCCGAUCAGCACGCGGGGUGAAUACGUUCCCGGGCCUUGUACACACCGCCCGUCACACCACGAAAGUCGGAAACCGAA